Molecule: ribosomal RNA, 234 nt
Filed under: uncultured bacterium
Lineage: Bacteria
Description: partial 16S ribosomal RNA
Rfam family: Bacterial small subunit ribosomal RNA
Source: RNAcentral
GGUCCUACGGGGGGCAGCAGUGGGGAAUAUUGGGCAAUGGGCGCAAGCCUGACCCAGCAACGCCGCGUGAAGGAAGAAGGCUUUCGGGUUGUAAACUUCUUUUAUGAGGGACGAAACAAAUGACGGUACCUCAUGAAUAAGCCACGGCUAACUACGUGCCAGCAGCCGCGGUAAUACGUAGGUGGCAAGCGUUAUCCGGAUUUACUGGGUGUAAAGGGCGUGUAGGCGGGACUG